UUUCAUGAGGCGAAUGUUAUAAAUUAUUCUUUUUUUGAUAAAUUAUAAGUAGAUCAAUUCAUGAUGCGAAUGUUAUUUUGAUGUUUAACAUAUAUAUCCUCUACUUUGAAAGCAAGUAUUGAUUGCCUUCGGCUGUUGUCUGCUCUAUUGUCGGGUUGUUGUAUUUUUUUAACAUUCCCCAUAUCAAUUCUCAAUUUUAUUUGCAGAUAAAUCUAUCCUGGCUAUCCUCUUACGUCUUUAAGUGUCAACUAGAAUAAAAGUAUUAUACUAUUGCCUUCAAAGUGGACACUCACAGUUAUAAUUCAUCAGAUGAAAAAAUACUGAAUAGUGUUUGAUGACUACUGCAUGUGUGUUUUAAAUGGUAUAAAGGAAACAUAAAAACUAUGCAUCUGGGGUCAGUUUCACAAAGCUGUCUUAGGACUAAGACAUGUCUUAGGAUUGUCUUAUUACAUAUCUUACUCCCGGAGAACCUGAGAUCACCCCAAGUUUUUGGUGGGGUUCGUGUUGCUUAUUCUGUAGUUUUUUAUGAUGUAUCAUGUGUACUAUUGUUUGUCUGUUUGUCUUUUUCAUUUUUAGCCAUGGUGUUGUCAGUUUAUUUUCAAUUUAUGAGUUUGACUGUCCCUCUUUUACUCCCAAGUGGGUUUCACAAAGUAUUCCUAAAUUUUAACAUCUCUUUAAGUUGGGACAACACGAGAGGUGUCUAUGGCCGUAUGAUAGUCAUCAAAUUAUUUAUACAUUUUUUGUACAAAUUACACUCAUUUAUUAUCUUAUCAUCAAUUUUCAUUUUUCUGCUACUUUGUAGGUUGACGGAUUAUUAUGAAGUGCCAACAAUCAACCUUCAAUGUAUUGAUUUUAACCAAUGAUGCACCAUUUUAUCCUUGAACCUUAUCAUGACUGAUACAGUGAUACCUUUUAUGAUAUCUUUGCUAAGAUCAUCCCAAGACAGCUUUAAGACGAGGUCUGAGAUAUGUACAUAGAUAGUCAUAAGAGGAUCAUAAAACAUGUCCGAACUCCUAAGAUAUAUUUUAUGACAGGUCUUAGGAACGCUUCGUAAUACCGACCCCUUGACAUUAACUGUAUCAGAAAAGGACAAAACACACUAACAUGAAUGAAUAAUAAAAGUGUACAAGUUGAAACCCUUUUUAAGCAAUAGAUAGUACAUGUUAUAACAUGUACGAGGUACUUUUGUAAAUUUUAUAACUUGUAUUUUUGCAUUAUACAAGUUGUAACAUGUACAAUAUUUUUGUACAUUAUAUAACCUGUACAAAAUCGCAACUUGUACACGACAUAUUUAUAGAUGUGUAACAUACCGAAUGUUGUGAUGGGAACAAGUCUUAUAUCAACCCCAUUUGAGAUCUCCAACAUGUAUAGAACUUUGUUUCUAGUUUCAGUACAGUAUUUCUACAAUUUUCUGUGUGGAUCUUCCUGUCAUAAACAGGUAUACAUACAAAAGUUUUAUUUUUCUAUCAGAGAUAAAAAAAAUGCUCUUGAAAACAAUUUCAUUUUGUUUUAUGGAUAUCGGUAAACAACCAUGUUUUGACUGUCAUAUUCGUCUUCGUUUUUUGUUUAUUGCAUGUUUUAGUAUAGCAUAAAUCAGACAGCAUAUUUACAGAUUUGAGUUCUCGUACAUUUUAUGAUGGUUAGUUUAAAAAAAAAAAGAAGAUGUGGGAUGAAUGCCAAUGCGACAACUGUCUACAAGAGACCAAAAUGACAUUAGUAACUAUAGGUCACCAUACGACCUACAACAAUGAGCAAAGCCCAUACCGCAUAGUCAGGUAUAACAGUCCCCAAUAAGACAAUGUAAAACAAUUCAAACGAGUAAAACUAACGGCCUUAUUUAUAUAAAAAAAAAAUGAACGAUAGAAAAACAAAUAUGUAACACAUAAACAAACGACAACCACUGAAUUACAGGUUUCUGAAGAUUUAGAUUUUUUAGAUUUCACUCUAUACGGCAUGGGUUGUACUCAGUGUUGAAGAUCGUCUUAAGGUUACUUAUACAUGUAGCUGUUUGAAUUUAAAUCCCCGCUCUUUGUACUCUUAGGACAACUUGAAGAAUUUGAACAUGAGUUUCUUUUUAAAAGUUAAAACGCCGGGAUAAAACAAACUUCCAGGUUUAUACUUUUUUUAUAUAUAUUAUUAAGUUCUAUGAACGAUCAUUUACUAAUGUUAAUAUUCCGGAAUAUAAGACCGAUAUUCAUUUUUUCUAACAUGUAUACAGA
Molecule: long non-coding RNA, 2219 nt
Filed under: Mytilus galloprovincialis (Mediterranean mussel)
Lineage: Eukaryota; Metazoa; Mollusca; Bivalvia; Mytilida; Mytilidae
Source: RNAcentral